AGAAGAUAUACCUCUUCUUCUAACUGUACGAUCCGCAAAAAGAACAACCGGCACCGCGGUAUAUGUGGGGACACGUUUUGUGAAGGGAAGUGGCAAGCCUAUGAAAUUCUUAGAAAGCUUAAUGAGAUGGCUGGAUUCUCUCCAGAUGAAGAGAUUUAACUUUUUGAGAUGGUAGGAAUUUGGCCAACUAUACUAUGAGAAGGAAAAUAAACCCAGUUGAAGAAGCUUGAGCACAUUGAUAUGCAAUAAUUGAAAACAUUGUUUAUUCUGCUGUGUUAGGUUGUAUGCUUGAAUUAUCUGGAGAAACUGAAGGAAGAUGAUUUCUCUCUAGAGCUGUAAUAACUUUUGAUAAUGUC
Papaver somniferum (opium poppy) is the source of this 356-nucleotide long non-coding RNA. RefSeq lists it as uncharacterized. NCBI's taxonomy places the organism in Eukaryota, Viridiplantae, Streptophyta, Magnoliopsida, Ranunculales, Papaveraceae. The record is from RefSeq and is a predicted model, not a curated record. The transcript has 4 exons.